Molecule: transfer RNA, 73 nt
Filed under: bacterium
Lineage: Bacteria
Also listed under: 1 other name
Description: tRNA-Cys
Rfam family: tRNA
About the family: Transfer RNA (tRNA) molecules are approximately 80 nucleotides in length. Their secondary structure includes four short double-helical elements and three loops (D, anti-codon, and T loops). Further hydrogen bonds mediate the characteristic L-shaped molecular structure. tRNAs have two regions of fundamental functional importance: the anti-codon, which is responsible for specific mRNA codon recognition, and the 3' end, to which the tRNAs corresponding amino acid is attached (by aminoacyl-tRNA synthetases). tRNAs cope with the degeneracy of the genetic code in two manners: having more than one tRNA (with a specific anti-codon) for a particular amino acid; and 'wobble' base-pairing, i.e. permitting non-standard base-pairing at the 3rd anti-codon position.
Source: RNAcentral
GAGUCGUUAGCUUAAUGUAGAGCAGGACACUACAAAGGUCUCAGUGUUGGUUCAAAUCCAUCACGACUCACCA